CCCUUAGACGUUCUGGGCCGCACGCGCGCUACACUGACGGAGCCAGCGAGUAUAAACCUUGGCCGAGAGGUCUGGGAAAUCUUGUGAAACUCCGUCGUGCUGGGGAUAGAGCAUUGUAAUUAUUGCUCUUCAACGAGGAAUUCCUAGUAAGCGCAAGUCAUCAGCUUGCGUUGAUUACGUCCCUGCCCUUUGUACACACCGCCCAUCGCUACUACCGAUUGAAUGGCUUAGUGAGGCUUCCGGAUUGGUUUAGAGAAGGGGGCAACUCCAUCUUGGAACCGAGAAGCUAGUCAAACUUGGUCAUUUAGAGGAAGUAAAAGUCGUAACA
Molecule: ribosomal RNA, 328 nt
Filed under: uncultured eukaryote
Lineage: Eukaryota
Description: partial 18S ribosomal RNA
Rfam family: Eukaryotic small subunit ribosomal RNA
Source: RNAcentral